This 1333-nucleotide long non-coding RNA is filed under the name Sparus aurata (gilthead seabream). RNAcentral describes it as "lncRNA (ENSSAUG00010013821.1)". Lineage: Eukaryota; Metazoa; Chordata; Actinopteri; Spariformes; Sparidae. The record is from RNAcentral.
GUGUGCCAGCCUCAGCCAAGUUAACUGUAUGCUGCGGGAACAACUGGAGCAGACAGGCAUUGUCAACCACGGGCUGACAGAGAGCUUAAGGAAGGCUCGUGAAGAUGCUGAGUUGUGUGAUAGCCGUUUGCGCAGAGAACAAGAGGUGAGAAAAAACCCAAACAUUUAGUGUUUGAGUCAGAAACCGGGAAAGCUAAGGUUUAUCCCUCUCUGCAAAGAGAUUGUGCAAUUAAACUCCUGUUGAGUUCACAUGGGGUAGGAAUUCCAUUCAUAGCCAGUUUUGUCAAUUCAUACUCAUUCCCUGUUCGUUUCAGUGCUAUGAGUUUUGAGUUGUUGUUUCCUGUGAAAACAUUCCAACUGCUGAGGGGGAGGAACAUUUUGUGCAAACAAUCUGCCGUUCGUGCUGUAAAUGGGCUACAUCUGUUGAUUCAGGGAAAUCCAAUUAUUUGUAUGUGUGCCAGUGUGCCAGAGUCCAGGAGUUCUAGUAUUGCGUCUGUUUGGGAUCACAAUAAAAUGAGAGGUGCCAUCAUUUUGCUGUAAGAAAUCUUUGCCACCCACCCUUCAGUCUCUUCCAGUCCCUUUGCUGUCUGCUUCUCUCUGCAGACGUGCGCCUCCCAUCUCAGUCGUGAACAGGCUCGUGUCAGAGCACUGUGGCGCCAGGCCGCUUCCCUGCGGAGCACUUUCACCCAGCUAAGGACGUUCACUGACAGGGCUCUGUCUGAUAUGCGGGGGGAGUGUGUCGCUGCCAGUCGGCAGCUGCAUGUGGCCUGCAUGAACUUGGAGGCCAAAGUAACACAGGACAGCACCUCUAGUUGUGUGGAGAUGUCAGCAUUGGAGAGGCAGCUGAAAGACAAACUAAAAGAGGCCAUGCAGCUUCAGGGUCGCUGGGAUGCAGAGAAAAUUGAACUUAACUACAGAAUCCUGGAGCUGACUGAUAUGGUGAAACACCUCCGCAGCCAAAACAGUGAGAAGGAUGCCAGCCUCAGCACCAUGCAGAUCAGUCUGGACAGGAUGGUGGGGCCUUGGGAAUCAUGACUGGGAGGUGGCAGAUAGAUUAGGUGGUUUAGAGGGCUAAAGCACAUGUAGUCUGGACGUUAGGCUUGAUAAACUCCACAACUUCCAUGUCUAGAGGGCUGCCGUCUGGGGAAUGUCAGGUUUGCUGUAUGUGUGCUGCUUAUCUGACCUUAAUGGUUUCCUGCUCAGGAGACCAGGAGAACAGAGGACAAAGCAGGGAUGGAGGUCCUCCACACAGAGAUCGAAGGCCUCCAAAGGAUUCUAUCCAAUGUUCAACAGGUCAGAACAAACAAAUGCACUUAACUAGAUUAUGCAUUAG